CCAUGUGUCCAUCACACACCACAUCCUGCCACGUAGGAGGACAGGUCCUGGCCCUGGCAGUGACGUUUCCAGGCCACCCUGAAACCAGACGGACAGAAGGACGUCAGUCAUCCACAUUCUCCCCGUGUCACAAUGAAAUACUUAUUUCAGGUCCUUGACUCAGUCCAAGCUGCCAAGUGAUCCACAGAUCCUGUUAAACAGUAACCGCCCGACACACAGGCAGCGGGAAAAAAUGGGGAAAUAACGCUCUUACGAAAAACAUCACGCUCUUGACUAAGGACCAGUGAACGUCCACGCAGAUCACGGGUGUUCAAUCUGCUCCUCCGUGAUCGGGACCCGGCCGGAGCGUUUGACGAGAGCAGCAGACUCCCAACGAGGGCGGCGACUGUCGAUGAACCUUCUGUCGGCUGUGAAUUAAGAUGGACGACGCGUCUCCACUUCUUUCUAAAAUGUCCCCGGAUGCAGGCGCCGGCCGGCGGCCAUCUUGUGCUGAUGAGGUCAUUUGUAGCCAGCGGUCCCUAACUGAGAGAAGUGACCCGGAAGUAUUUCCUCGGCAGCCCCCGAUUUGAAAUGUUCAUGAAAGGAGCUUCCUUUCCUCUGUCUCCUUUGGCCUAAGGAGGAGACACAGACGCCCCACAAUUCAUAGUGGCUGCGAUAUUUAACGUAAACGAUUAAAUCCGAAGUAGAGGAAGAAGAAGAAGAGUAUUUAUAUGACACAGUCAUCAUAUGAAAUACUUAUUUCAGGUCCUUGACUCGGUCCAAGCUGCCAAGUGAUCCACAGAUCCUGUUAAACAGUAACCGCCCGACACACAGGCAGCGGGAAAAAAUGGGGAAAUAACGCUCUUACGAAAAACAUCACGCUCUUGACUAAGGACCAGUGAACGUCCACGCAGGUACAACUUGAUCAACACGAGAGCAGAGUCUCAGAGUUCUGUUGGCCAACGGUAGAUGGAGGAUUUUCAUAAAGAGCCUCGUCACGCGUACAAAGACGUUCACAGAGAUAUAGAGUCGAGCCUGUUUAUAAUAAUAUGGAUUGAAUAAUUCCUUCCUCUCUUUCUUUCUUUAUUCUUUAUUUCGAACAAAUUCAAAUAAAAAGUGUUACACAAACAAAUUAAAUGUUUGUAAAGUGUUAUAAGCAAUAUUUAUAAAUAUAUAAAUCAUAUAUGUCUGAAAAGGAGCAGGAGGAAGCCAAAGCUUAUUAA
Scophthalmus maximus (turbot) is the source of this 1202-nucleotide long non-coding RNA. RefSeq lists it as uncharacterized. The transcript is spliced from 4 exons. NCBI's taxonomy places the organism in Eukaryota, Metazoa, Chordata, Actinopteri, Pleuronectiformes, Scophthalmidae. The record is from RefSeq and is a predicted model, not a curated record.